GAUGAACGCUGGCGGCGUGCCUAACACAUGCAAGUCGAACGGAGUCCAGCCUUUAAGACCUUCGGGUCAAAGAGGGGAAGACUGAGUGGCGGACGGGUGAGUAACACGUGGGCAACCUGGCUCAUAGAGGGGGAUAACAGAGAGAAAUUUCUGCUAAUACCGCAUAAGCACACACUGCCCCAUGGCAGAGGGUGAAAAGAGAAUCGCUCUGAGAUGGACCCGCGUCUGAUUAGCCAGUUGGCAGGGUAAGAGCCUACCAAAGCGACGAUCAGUAGCCGAUCUGAGAGGAUGAACGGCCACAUUGGGACUGAGACACGGCCCAAACUCCUACGGGAGGCAGCAGUGGGGGAUAUUGCACAAUGGGGGGAACCCUGAUGCAGCGACGCCGCGUGAGUGAAGAAGUAUUUCGGUAUGUAAAGCUCUAUCAGCAGGGAAGAUAAUGACAGUACCUGAAUAAGAAGCCCCGGCUAACUACGUG
This 478-nucleotide ribosomal RNA is filed under the name uncultured bacterium. RNAcentral describes it as "partial 16S ribosomal RNA". It matches the Rfam family "Bacterial small subunit ribosomal RNA", at positions 28 to 507 of the family's 1533-position model. The record is from RNAcentral.